GACGAACGCUGGCGGCGUGCUUAACACAUGCAAGUCGAACGGGCCUGUCUUCUUUUUGGGGGUGGGUUGAGUGGCGAACGGGUGAGUAUCACGUGAGUAACCUGCCCUUCGGUCCUGGAUAACCGCUUGAAAGGGCGGCUAAUACGGGGUGGUCCGGUUGGUCCGCAUGGGCUGGUCGGGAUAGAUUCACUGUUUUUGGUGUUUCGGCGGGGGAUGGGCUCGCGGCCUAUCAGCUUGUUGGUGGGGUGAUGGCCUACCAAGGCGGUGACGGGUAGCCGGCCUGAGAGGGUGGGCGGCCACACUGGGACUGAGAUACGGCCCAGACUCCUGCGGGAGGCAGCAGUGGGGGGUAUUGCACAAUGGGCGGAAGCCUGAUGCAGCGACGUCGCGUGAGGGAUGGAGGCCUUCGGGUUGUGAACCUCUGUUUCCGGUGGUGAAGGCCCUGUCCGUGUGGUGGGGUUGACGGUAGCCGGGGAUGAAGCGCCGGCUAACUACGUG
RNAcentral lists this ribosomal RNA (498 nucleotides) under uncultured bacterium. Its description in RNAcentral is "partial 16S ribosomal RNA". It matches the Rfam family "Bacterial small subunit ribosomal RNA", at positions 28 to 507 of the family's 1533-position model. The record is from RNAcentral.